This 497-nucleotide ribosomal RNA is filed under the name uncultured bacterium. RNAcentral describes it as "partial 16S ribosomal RNA". It matches the Rfam family "Bacterial small subunit ribosomal RNA", at positions 28 to 507 of the family's 1533-position model. The record is from RNAcentral.
GAUGAACGCUGGCGGCGUGCCUAAUACAUGCAAGUCGAGCGAACAGACGAGGAGCUUGCUCCUCUGACGUUAGCGGCGGACGGGUGAGUAACACGUGGAUACCCUACCUAUAAGACUGGGAUAACUUCGGGAAACCGGAGCUAAUACCGGAUAAUAUAUUGAACCGCAUGGUUCAAUAGUGAAAGACGGUUUUGCUGUCACUUAUAGAUGGUUCCGCGCCGCAUUAGCUAGUUGGUAAGGUAACGGCUUACCAAGGCAACGAUGCGUAGCCGACCUGAGAGGGUGAUCGGCCACACUGGAACUGAGACACGGUCCAGACUCCUACGGGAGGCAGCAGUAGGGAAUCUUCCGCAAUGGGCGAAAGCCUGACGGAGCAACGCCGCGUGAGUGAUGAAGGUCUUCGGAUCGUAAAACUCUGUUAUUAGGGAAGAACAAAUGUGUAAGUAACUAUGCACGUCUUGACGGUACCUAAUCAGAAAGCCACGGCUAACUACGUG